AGAUUGAACGCUGGCGGCAUGCCUUACACAUGCAAGUCGAACGGCAGCACGGGAGCAAUCCUGGUGGCGAGUGGCGAACGGGUGAGUAAUAUAUCGGAACGUGACCCAGUCGUGGGGGAUAACGUAGAGAAAUUUACGCUAAUACCGCAUACGAUCCAAGGAUGAAAGCGGGGG
RNAcentral lists this ribosomal RNA (174 nucleotides) under uncultured soil bacterium. Its description in RNAcentral is "partial 16S ribosomal RNA". It matches the Rfam family "Bacterial small subunit ribosomal RNA", at positions 26 to 209 of the family's 1533-position model. The record is from RNAcentral.